RNAcentral lists this ribosomal RNA (253 nucleotides) under uncultured bacterium. RNAcentral's name for it is "partial 16S ribosomal RNA". It matches the Rfam family "Bacterial small subunit ribosomal RNA", at positions 524 to 776 of the family's 1533-position model. The record is from RNAcentral.
UACGGAGGGUGCAAGCGUUAUUCGGAUUCACUGGGUUUAAAGGGUGCGUAGGCGGACAGGUAAGUCAGUGGUGAAAUCUCUGGGCUUAACCCAGAAACUGCCGUUGAUACUAUUUGUCUUGAAUAUCCUGGAGGUAGGCGGAAUAUGUCAUGUAGCGGUGAAAUGCUUAGAUAUGACAUAGAACACCGAUAGCGAAGGCAGCUUACUACAGGAUGAUUGACGCUGAGGCACGAAAGCGUGGGGAGCAAACAGG